Triticum urartu is the source of this 1307-nucleotide long non-coding RNA. RefSeq lists it as uncharacterized. The record is from RefSeq and is a predicted model, not a curated record. Lineage: Eukaryota; Viridiplantae; Streptophyta; Magnoliopsida; Poales; Poaceae.
CUUUUUCCUUUUUCUGAACCUGGGUAUUCCAAAUUUUCAGAAAAGAAAGAAAAGGAGAUAGGGGCUCACAGAAGUGCCUUUGGUCUCUCUAUUCUAGCACAGCAGGCCACGAGGCCCAGCAGAAGCUGGCCCACCUAAUCCCUAGGCCAUCUCCACCUAAGGCCCAUCAGUGCCCGAUCCCCUCUAACCUAGCGAGCCUCCAGCUCGAUCUCCCUCUUCCUCCCGCAGCGCCGCACUCGCACCCAGCGCCCGCUGCCUCCCGCUCGAUCUUGAGCGCCCCAGCACCAACGAGCACCGCCGCCUUGCGCCGCCCCUCUCGCCUCCCGCCUCCUUCAUCUCAUGCGUGCCGCCGCCACCCAUCCAUGGCCGCUGCGCAGCCACGACGCCCGAGCAUCCCUGCAGCCUCGCCUCCGGCCGCGCGGUCCCAACCGAAGCCGCCGCUGCCGUUCAGGUCGACCCGACCUCUGCCUCCGCACACGCUGGCCAUCCUCCUGCCGCUCCUGCUACCCGACUCUGCUCCGCACGCACGGCACCCUGCAUCCGUGGCUUCGCCUCCUCUGCUCGUUGCCUGCAUGCCCGACGCCGCGCCUCCUCCUGGCGCCGGCCCCGUCGCCAAGUCCCGUCGCCGGAGCUCGCCUUCGUCCGGACACCGGCCAGCUCAGGCCCAUUGUCGUGCGCCGCUUGAUCCGCCCUCCCGCGACUCGGAUACACAGCUGCCGCUCAUCCUUGGCGCCAUGGCCCGUGCCUCUUUUGGACAACCCGUUGCUGACAUGCACAACUUCUGUCGUGCCCUGUUGUGCGUGCUCUCUGCUGCCUGGCACCGUUGACGUCAAGACCGUGGUUGCCAAGUUCCUCUUCCAGAGUCAUCAAAAUGCAUGAGGAUCUCGAUGUACGACUACACAAUGACACGCCAAGUUCCCCUCCGACCGUGUACAGCUGCUCAUGCUGAAGACUGUGUGUACCACUACUGUUGCCAGGUGUGAGAUUGCUGAGUCCUCGUGACUCCCAGUUACUUCAAAACAUUUGGAGGUGCCGAUGAUACCAGUGCAGGUGACGCAACUGAGCUCAACUGGGAGCUCGAUGAAGAUCUUGAUCGUUGUUUUGUGACUUUUCCGGAUGAUCAGUAGUGGGGACCAGUUGGGACGAUCGGAGAUCUAGCAUUUGGGGUUGUCUUCUUUUAUUUUGGUUUCGUAGUCGGACCUUGAUUGCACUCUCGAUGACGUAUGUUUAACUUGUUAGUUGUGUGAAGUAGCCAUUAUAAGCCAAAUCUUUAUCCCUUUAUUAUUCAGUACAUGGGAUUGUGUGAA